Molecule: ribosomal RNA, 1017 nt
Filed under: uncultured organism
Description: bacterial SSU rRNA
Rfam family: Bacterial small subunit ribosomal RNA
Source: RNAcentral
GAGGAAUAUUGGUCAAUGGGCGAGAGCCUGAACCAGCCAAGUAUCGUGAAGGAUGACUGCCCUAUGGGUUGUAAACUUCUUUUAUAAAGGAAUAAAGUCGGGUAUGGAUACCCGUUUGCAUGUACUUUAUGAAUAAGGAUCGGCUAACUCCGUGCCAGCAGCCGCGGUAAUACGGAGGAUCCGAGCGUUAUCCGGAUUUAUUGGGUUUAAAGGGAGCGUAGAUGGAUGUUUAAGUCAGUUGUGAAAGUUUGCGGCUCAACCGUAAAAUUGCAGUUGAUACUGGAUAUCUUGAGUGCAGUUGAGGCAGGCGGAAUUCGUGGUGUAGCGGUGAAAUGCUUAGAUAUCACGAAGAACUCCGAUUGCGAAGGCAGCCUGCUAAGCUGCAACUGACAUUGAGGCUCGAAAGUGUGGGUAUCAAACAGGAUUAGAUACCCUGGUAGUCCACACGGUAAACGAUGAAUACUCGCUGUUUGCGAUAUACAGCAAGCGGCCAAGCGAAAGCGUUAAGUAUUCCACCUGGGGAGUACGCCGGCAACGGUGAAACUCAAAGGAAUUGACGGGGGCCCGCACAAGCGGAGGAACAUGUGGUUUAAUUCGAUGAUACGCGAGGAACCUUACCCGGGCUUAAAUUGCAGAUGAAUUACGGUGAAAGCCGUAAGCCGCAAGGCAUCUGUGAAGGUGCUGCAUGGUUGUCGUCAGCUCGUGCCGUGAGGUGUCGGCUUAAGUGCCAUAACGAGCGCAACCCUUGUUGUCAGUUACUAACAGGUUCCGCUGAGGACUCUGACAAGACUGCCAUCGUAAGAUGUGAGGAAGGUGGGGAUGACGUCAAAUCAGCACGGCCCUUACGUCCGGGGCUACACACGUGUUACAAUGGGGGGUACAGAGGGCCGCUACCACGCGAGUGGAUGCCAAUCCCAAAAACCUCUCUCAGUUCGGACUGGAGUCUGCAACCCGACUCCACGAAGCUGGAUUCGCUAGUAAUCGCGCAUCAGCCACGGCGCGGUGAAUACGUUCCCG